GGUUUGUAGCAAUACAGAUGCUGGCGACCGGCAAACGGGUGCGGAACACGUACACAACCUUCCUUUAAGUGGGGAAUAGCCCAGGGAAACUUGGAUUAAUACCCCGUAAUAUUAUGAAAUGGCAUCAUUUUAUAAUUAUAGCUACGGCGCUUAAUGAUGGGUGUGCGGCUGAUUAGGUAGUUGGCGGGGUAACGGCCCACCAAGCCUGCGAUCAGUAACUGGUGUGAGAGCACGACCAGUCACACGGGCACUGAGACACGGGCCCGACUCCUACGGGAGGCAGCAGUAAGGAAUAUUGGUCAAUGGACGCAAGUCUGAACCAGCCAUGCCGCGUGGAGGAUGAAGGUCCUCUGGAUUGUAAACUUCUUUUAUCUGGGACGAAAAAGGGUCUUUCUAGAUCAACUGACGGUACCAGAUGAAUAAGCACCGGCUAACUCCGUGCCAGCAGCCGCGGUAAUACGGAGGGUGCAAGCGUUAUCCGGACUCACUGGGUUUAAAGGGUGCGUAGGUGGGUCUGUAAGUCCGUGGUGAAAUCUCCGAGCUUAACUUGGAAACUGCCAUGGAUACUAUAGAUCUUGAAUACUGUGGAGGUCAGCGGAAUAUGUCAUGUAGCGGUGAAAUGCUUAGAUAUGACAUAGAACACCAAUUGCGAAGGCAGCUGGCUACACAAAUAUUGACACUGAGGCACGAAAGCGUGGGGAUCAAACAGGAUUAGAUACCCUGGUAGUCCACGCCCUAAACGAUGGAUACUCGACAUUUGCGAUACACUGCAAGUGUCUGAGCGAAAGCAUUAAGUAU
Molecule: ribosomal RNA, 798 nt
Filed under: uncultured Sphingobacteriales cum 'Crenotrichaceae' bacterium
Lineage: Bacteria; Pseudomonadati; Bacteroidota; Sphingobacteriia; Sphingobacteriales
Description: bacterial SSU rRNA
Rfam family: Bacterial small subunit ribosomal RNA
Source: RNAcentral